GACGAACGCUGGCGGCGUGCUUAACACAUGCAAGUCGAACGAUGAUGCCCAGCUUGCUGGGCGGAUUAGUGGCGAACGGGUGAGUAACACGUGAGUAACCUGCCCCUGACUCUGGGAUAAGCGUUGGAAACGACGGCUAAUACUGGAUAUGAUCGCCGACCGCAUGGUCUGGUGGUGGAAAGAUUUUUUGGUUGGGGAUGGACUCGCGGCCUAUCAGCUUGUUGGUGAGGUAAUGGCUCACCAAGGCGACGACGGGUAGCCGGCCUGAGAGGGUGACCGGCCACACUGGGACUGAGACACGGCCCAGACUCCUACGGGAGGCAGCAGUGGGGAAUAUUGCACAAUGGGCGAAAGCCUGAUGCAGCAACGCCGCGUGAGGGAUGACGGCCUUCGGGUUGUAAACCUCUUUUAGUAGGGAAGAAGCGAAAGUGACGGUACCUGCAGAAAAAGCACCGGCUAACUACAUG
RNAcentral lists this ribosomal RNA (467 nucleotides) under uncultured bacterium. RNAcentral describes it as "partial 16S ribosomal RNA". It matches the Rfam family "Bacterial small subunit ribosomal RNA", at positions 28 to 507 of the family's 1533-position model. The record is from RNAcentral.